This 502-nucleotide ribosomal RNA is filed under the name uncultured Glomeromycotina. RNAcentral describes it as "partial small subunit ribosomal RNA". It matches the Rfam family "Eukaryotic small subunit ribosomal RNA", at positions 591 to 1092 of the family's 1831-position model. The record is from RNAcentral. Lineage: Eukaryota; Fungi; Glomeromycota.
CCAAUAGCGUAUAUUAAAGUUGUUGCAGUUAAAAAGCUCGUAGUUGAACUUCGGGGUUCACCCAUUGGUCAGGCUUAAUUGUCUGUACUGGUGAGAUGAGUCUCUACCUUCUGAGGAACUUUCAUGCCAUUUAUUUGGUGUGGUUGGAAAUCAGGACUGUUACUUUGAAAAAAUUAGAGUGUUUAAAGCAGGCUAACGUCUGAAUACAUUAGCAUGGAAUAAUGAAAUAGGACGGAUUGAUUCUAUUUCGUUGGUUUCGAGGGUCACCGUAAUGAUUAAUAGGGAUAGUUGGGGGCAUUAGUAUUCGAUUGUCAGAGGUGAAAUUCUUGGAUUUAUUGAAGACUAACUACUGCGAAAGCAUUAGCCAAGGAUGUUUUCAUUAAUCAAGAACGAAAGUUAGGGGAUCGAAGACGAUCAGAUACCGUCGUAGUCUUAACCAUAAACUAUGCCGACUAGGGAUCGGACGCAGUUAAUUUUAUAAUGACGUGUUCGGCACCUUACG